Molecule: long non-coding RNA, 3506 nt
Organism: Artibeus jamaicensis (Jamaican fruit-eating bat)
Lineage: Eukaryota; Metazoa; Chordata; Mammalia; Chiroptera; Phyllostomidae
Exons: 3
Source: RefSeq, a predicted model, not a curated record
GAGGUGGGAGGGCACGUGACGCCGUUCUGAGCAUGCGUAGUGAGCGCGGGGCGGGGCCGGGCGCGCGCAGGUAGAGCCUCCCGGCAGCUUCGCGCGCGCGGUGGAGGGAGGUUACGUGUGACCUUUGGCGUGGGGGCUCGCGGAGUGCGGGUCCUAGAGGGGCAGGAGAGGACGGGUCCGGGGACCGAUCGCCGGUGGUUGGAUUGGGGACCUAUUGGUUGAGAGGGAGGGCUUUGUGGUGCGGUUCUGCCGGGGACGAACCAAGUGGUUGCGUCCGCCACGGGGUCGACUGUGGCUCCCUGGCGGGGUCUCCCAGGGCCGGAGGCUUACCCAGGGAACGAGACGAGGCCCUGAAGAGAGAAGACGGUGUUCAUGGCUGCCCAACCGAGCCCGCGACUGUGGGAAGGGAGGUCACCGGGGCUUUGCACACAGGUCGCUGCGCGGACUGGGUGAAGCACAGGAUGUGGACAUCCAUUGGGGGCCUCGAGGACCAGGCCAGAGCAGCAUGAGUGAGGCAGGAAUGGCCAGGUCCUCCCCUCUGGGUCCCUGGGGUGGGGGCGCUGGCCUGGGCUGGCCGUCCGCCUGCCCCGCAUCUGAGCAGCUGCAGUCUUGCUGUUUCUGGGGCUGUGCCUCCUCCCUCAGGAGUCAGCGUAGUUCCUUCCCCCAGAAGCCCCUCUCCAUAGGUGGGGCCCUGUCUGUGGAAGGGCCCCAUCCUUCCUGGGUGUGGAUCCCACGGAUCUACUCCACAUGUGGCCACUGCCUCGCGAGGGGCAAGUACAGGUGGUGGGGCAGGGAACAAGCCUGUCACCUGCUCUCUGAACUAUGGCCCCAGGAGGGACAGCCCACGUGGGGCGGGCCAUGUGGCCUUGAAGUUUGCUCCAGUGUUACCUGUUGCCCUGUGCAAAAGCAUCCCAGAAGUCCAUGGCCUGGAGCACCACUUACUGCCCCCUCCCAUCUGGGGGUGUUGGCCCUGGCAGGGCUGGGCUGCUGUGAUCUGUGGGCUCUGGGGAAGGCCUGUCCCGUGCCGCUUCUUUGCCCAGGCCCGGUGCCUCAGUUCUGUGGCUGGGGCAGUGGGGCUGGCCAGCUGCGUUACUGUGUGGCCUCUCCAGUGGGGCUGGCUUGGGCCUCCCCCCCGCCUUGUGGUCUCAGCAGCUGUUCUGUGGUGGCCAACUCCCCCAGCACACAGCCACGUGGCCAGGCUUCUGACCGAGCCUUGGAAGUCAAGCACUGUCAUUCCCCCUGGGUAGUGGGUGUCACAGAGAAAGUCCCAGGCCACCCCAGAUCCCAAGGGAGAGGACUUCACAGGCCUGGGGGCACUGGGAGGCCUGGUUCAUAGGGAUUAUCAUCAGAGACUGGCUGGCAAUCAGCCCACUCUGGAGGGGAUUGUGCUUCCCAACCCUGCCCUGGUGCCCUGGAGGCUGGAGAGACCACUACCAGACAGUUGGUCCCAGAAGCUGUCCCCCCAGCCCAACAGUCAGGCCAGCUGGGCCUCUUCCUCCAAGCACCCAGGGCCCCGGGGUGCUCCCGCCUGCGGCCGUGUGCAGGUGGGAACUGACCACAGAGCGUGUGCAGCGGUGGUGAGAAUAGGUGUCUGUCUGCACAGAGUGCAGCUUUCCUCCGGUUCAGGGAAGUGACAUUUUGUGACAAUGCAAGUGGGGGCGCUGGUAGUGCGGGCAUGUGCCUGCAGCAUUCCGUUCCCUCCACUGACAGCCCGGCUCCCAGUAUCGCCCCAGGAGUGGGAGGGUGCUCCAGACAGACACUUGUGCCAACAGCCCCGUCCACAGCAGCUUGAACCCUCAUGGCCCUCAACAGGUGACGGUCUCCCAAGGACCCCAGACCUGCAGGGGGCCAGGGGUCAGCCUUCAGACUUCCUCUUCUGCCUCAGCGCCCUGUGCUGAUUCCUGCCUCGACCCACUCAGCGCGGGGGCUGGAGGCCCCACGUCUGCUCGGCACCCCCAGAACAGCGUCCCACCAAAUACCAGGUGGUGUGGAAUGAGCCGCCACAGCGGGAAGGAGCUGAAAAGGCAGUGGUUCGAAACAGGCCUCGCGGAAGGGGACGUGGGAAGAACGUGCUUCUGAGCCUGCUGCAGCGUGCCCACACGCACGGUCCCAGUGCGCCUGAGGUCUGAGGUGCAAACAGGAGAGAGGGACACGGGUGUGUGUGUGAGUGUGCACACGUGUGUGCCGGGAGGCUGAACCCUGCAGGGCCACAUCUACUCUGCACCCACCUGACCUCCUCCUCCCAGGCCCGGCCCAGGUUGGGGCGGUCACCUCCAGGGUGCGUGCUCGGGGCAUGCUGUGCACCCCCGUGCCGGGCCCAGACCCUGGUGCGUGAACGGUCAUCGGUUUCCACAAGCGGGGGCUUCUGGGCCAGAGUUUCCCUCAGUUUGCAGAAAGGCGCCCCUCCCCUUUCCUGAUGCCACCGAGUGCACGACCGACCAGCUCCCCAGGGGCCCUGCGCCCUGCGCUGUUUGGCUGCUACGGUGAUGCCACCCGCCUCCCGUCGGGCCCUGUGGCCCCGGUGAAGGAGCCCCACUGACUCAGAUGAUCAGACGUGAGGGGUGUCCUCCGUGCAGAAGGCACAAGGUGUGUUCCUGCAAGGUGCAGUCUGAGGAAAAGCGGGCAGACAGACGCACAGGAGCCCAUCUCUGGUACCCCGGAAGCUCGGGGGUGGGGGCGGGGCUGGCCCCACUGGAGUCACUUCCUCCAGACGCUGAGAACAACCCCCUGGACCAUCCCACAUGCACCCCCGACCUCUGUUCCCUUUUGUUUCGACAAACUGCUCCACCGAAGGCCCCGGGAGAAAAGGGGCCGAAAGCCCAGGUCCAGUCCGCCCUCUGCCUCCCUAAGAGUCUCCAGGAGCCACUCUGGGGCCAUCAGCAGGCAGGGACACAGACGCUGUAGGGGUGACAUCCAAGCACCCCCACCUCCUGGACGUCUGGCAGGGCUCUGCCUUUCUGCUUCUAACCCCCGGGGCCCUCUCAGUCCUCUGGGUCCGGGGCGGGCCAAAGCAGACGCUCCCGGGGAAGCCACAUCCUCAGCUGCCCCAGAGGUGCCAUCUCUGGUGUCACACUGUCUACCCUGGGUGGCCGACAGGCACAGACACCCCGGCUCCUGCACUAGACACUGGGGUCCCCACGCCAGGCGUCUUAUUUCAGUGGAGCUCCUCCCACAGGAGGUUCCGGAGACAGAGCAGGGAAGACACAUUGGGACACCUGCCUGUCCGCCCUCCCGUGUGAGUGCUGGCGGGGCUGGAAACCACUUUCCUGCAGUGUUUUGUAGGCAUUGCUUCGAUGUCUGCUUACCAGCCAUUCUGGCUGCUUCACACCUCAAGCCAGUAUGAGACUUCUUCAUGUUGAUGUGGAGAAUGUCCCUUUUGGACUAGAAAAGCGUGUGCAUCUCUCUGUGUAUCGCACCAUCCAACUGCCUGUGUCUGCUCAGGAAGGUUGGAGCUGGUGCUGAGAGGGGCGGGGGUGUUGCAGCUGGUCAGGCCGGCUGUCCGCGGC